This 542-nucleotide ribosomal RNA is filed under the name uncultured bacterium. RNAcentral's name for it is "bacterial SSU rRNA". It matches the Rfam family "Bacterial small subunit ribosomal RNA", at positions 382 to 916 of the family's 1533-position model. The record is from RNAcentral.
CCUGACGCAGCAACGCCGCGUGGAGGAUGAAGGUCUUCGGAUUGUAAACUCCUGUUGCUCGGGACGAAAAGCCUCGACCUAACACGUCGAGGUCUGACGGUACCGAGUGAGGAAGCCCCGGCUAACUCUGUGCCAGCAGCCGCGGUAAUACAGAGGGGGCAAGCGUUGUUCGGAAUUACUGGGCGUAAAGGGCGCGUAGGCGGCCCGCUAAGUCGAACGUGAAAUCCCCGAGCUCAACUCGGGAACUGCGUCCGAUACUGGUGGGCUUGAGUCCGGGAGAGGGAUGCGGAAUUCCAGGUGUAGCGGUGAAAUGCGUAGAUAUCUGGAGGAACACCGGUGGCGAAGGCGGCAUCCUGGACCGGCAUUGACGCUGAGGCGCGAAAGCUAGGGGAGCAAACGGGAUUAGAUACCCCGGUAGUCCUAGCCCUAAACGAUGAAUGCUUGGUGUGGCGGGUAUCGAUCCCUGCCGUGCCGAAGCUAACGCAUUAAGCAUUCCGCCUGGGGAGUACGGUCGCAAGGCUGAAACUCAAAUGAAUUGACGG